Molecule: long non-coding RNA, 591 nt
Organism: Arachis duranensis
Lineage: Eukaryota; Viridiplantae; Streptophyta; Magnoliopsida; Fabales; Fabaceae
Exons: 2
Source: RefSeq, a predicted model, not a curated record
UCCCUCCUUCGUUCCUUCCUAUGUUCUUCACUAAUCAAGUAAUCAGAAAGGUCAACUCAAAGAAAGAAAAAGUGAAAACCCUAGGUAGCCUCCACUGCCGCCGAACGGAGUGAGCCACUGCCGUCGUCCGUCGUUGUCCAAGGCUUCUCUCUUCGUCCUUCGGCGUUCUCCAAGUCUCCAACCGCUGUCCGCUCUCAGAUUCACCGGUCGCAGUCGCGCAGCUUCUUCCUCGAGCGUCCGUUGUCUUCGUCUUCUUGCCGUCGUCUUCGUCUGCUGACUCUGCUCGCCGCGGUUCUCGCCGUCUCAGACCGAAGAAAACCCUUCUCCAUUCCAAUCUCCUUCCUUCGAGUUCAGAGAUCAGAAGUUCAACCAAGAGAAAAACCCUAGCCUCCACCACCGUCGCAAGGAGCAGCCGUGUUUGCCACCGUCCGCCGCAGUCAGGGUUGUCUCUUUGAGUCUUCGUCCGCCGCAGUCAGUGCUCACUUGUUCUUGUUUCUUUUUUAUGCUCUUUUCAGAAAUCAUUGAACGAUUAUUGAAUGUUUAUGUUUUUAUUGAAUGAUUAUCUGAUUAAUGAUUAUUGAUUAGCUCCUC